RNAcentral lists this ribosomal RNA (256 nucleotides) under uncultured bacterium. RNAcentral's name for it is "partial 16S ribosomal RNA". It matches the Rfam family "Bacterial small subunit ribosomal RNA", at positions 524 to 776 of the family's 1533-position model. The record is from RNAcentral.
UACGUAGGGUGCGAGCGUUUAAUCGGAAUUACUGGGCGUAAAGCGUGCGCAGGCGGUUUGCUAAGACCGAUGUGAAAUCCCCGGGCUUAACCUGGGAACUGCAUUGGUGACUGGCAAGCUAGAGUGUGGCAGAGGGGGGGUAGAAUUCCACGUGUAGCAGUGAAAUGCGUAGAGAUGUGGAGGAAUACCGAUGGCGAAGGCAGCCCCCUGGGUCAAGAUUGACGCUCAUGCACGAAAGCGUGGGGGAGCAAACAGG